CCCUAGCCCUGAUUGCAACGGAAAUCCUGCUGGCGUAACGCAGUGCAGACAGCAGAUUGCAGUGAAAAGCAGGAAAUAGC
This 80-nucleotide small RNA is filed under the name Flavobacterium noncentrifugens. Its description in RNAcentral is "Flavo-1 RNA". It matches the Rfam family "Flavo-1 RNA". The record is from Rfam by way of RNAcentral. Lineage: Bacteria; Pseudomonadati; Bacteroidota; Flavobacteriia; Flavobacteriales; Flavobacteriaceae.